GACUGAAAGGAAAAGUUCAGUUUAGGGUUUUAAAACCCUAAUGCUGACUAAAUGAAAAGAGUUCAGUUUAGGGUUUAAAACCCUAAUGCUGACUAAAGGAAAAGUUCAGUUUAGGGUUUAAAACCCUAAUGCUGACUAAAGGAAAAAGUUCAGUUUAGGGUUUAAAACCCUAAUGCUGAUUGAAUGGAAAAGUUCAGUUUAUGGUUUAAAAACCCUAAUGCUGACUAAAGGAAAAGUUCAGUUUAGGGUUUAAAACCCUAAUGCUGACUAAAUGGAAAGAGUUCAGUUUAGGGUUUAAAACCCUAACGCUGAC
This 313-nucleotide long non-coding RNA is filed under the name Nicotiana tabacum (common tobacco). Its description in RNAcentral is "long non-coding RNA (NTAB_LNC011736)". Lineage: Eukaryota; Viridiplantae; Streptophyta; Magnoliopsida; Solanales; Solanaceae. The record is from RNAcentral.